RNAcentral lists this ribosomal RNA (253 nucleotides) under uncultured bacterium. RNAcentral describes it as "partial 16S ribosomal RNA". It matches the Rfam family "Bacterial small subunit ribosomal RNA", at positions 524 to 776 of the family's 1533-position model. The record is from RNAcentral.
UACGGAGGGGGCUAGCGUUGUUCGGAAUUACUGGGCGUAAAGCGCACGUAGGCGGCUUUGCAAGUCAGAGGUGAAAGCCCGGGGCUCAACCCCGGAAUUGCCUUUGAGACUGCAUCGCUAGAAUUGUGGAGAGGUAAGUGGAAUUCCGAGUGUAGAGGUGAAAUUCGUAGAUAUUCGGAAGAACACCAGUGGCGAAGGCGGCUCUCUGGACCGACACUGACGCUGAGGCGCGAAAGCGUGGGGAGCAAACAGG